GCCUUGCUAGCUCAAUCGGUAGAGCGUGUGACUUUUACGCAAGUAAUUUCAUAAUCACAAGGUUGCGGGUUCGACCCCCGCGUGAGGCU
This is a non-coding RNA of Mycena polygramma, 89 nucleotides long. The record is from the annotation of a GenBank genome assembly. NCBI's taxonomy places the organism in Eukaryota, Fungi, Basidiomycota, Agaricomycetes, Agaricales, Mycenaceae.